UUGACCUCAAAUCAGGUAGGACUACCCGCUGAACUUAAGCAUAUCAAUAAGCGGAGGAAAAGAAACUAACAAGGAUUCCCCUAGUAACUGCGAGUGAAGCGGGAAAAGCUCAAAUUUAAAAUCUGGCGGUCUUUGGCCGUCCGAGUUGUAAUCUAGAGAAGUGUUAUCCGCGCUGGACCGUGUACAAGUCUCCUGGAAUGGAGCGUCAUAGAGGGUGAGAAUCCCGUCUUUGACACGGACUGCCAGGGCUUUGUGAUGCGCUCUCAAAGAGUCGAGUUGUUUGGGAAUGCAGCUCAAAAUGGGUGGUAAAUUCCAUCUAAAGCUAAAUAUUGGCGAGAGACCGAUAGCGAACAAGUACCGUGAGGGAAAGAUGAAAAGAACUU
Molecule: ribosomal RNA, 383 nt
Filed under: uncultured Cortinariaceae
Lineage: Eukaryota; Fungi; Basidiomycota; Agaricomycetes; Agaricales; Cortinariaceae
Description: eukaryotic LSU rRNA
Rfam family: Eukaryotic large subunit ribosomal RNA
Source: RNAcentral